GUCUUUUUGAGAAUAAUUUAAAGUCAAAUCUGCCCACUGAAUUUAUUUAAAGGGCUGCAGUAUAUUGACUGUACAAAGGUAGCAUAAUCAUUAGUCUUUUAAUUGAAGACUUGUAUGAAUGAUUUGAUGAGAUAUAGACUGUCUCUUUGUUAAAAAUAGAAUUUAAUUUUUUAGUUAAAAAGCUAAAAUAUUUUUAAAAGACGAGAAGACCCUAUAGAGUUUUAUAUUUUAUUAAAUUUAAAUUUUAUAUAAAUUUUUAAAUUUAAAUUUUAUAAAAUAUUUUGUUGGGGUGAUAGAAAAAUUUAAUAAACUUUUUUUAAAAAUUUUACAUUAAUUUAUGAUUGUAUGAUCCAUAAUUUUUGAUUAUAAGAAUAAAUUACCUUAGGGAUAACAGCGUAAUUUUUUUUUUUAGUUCAAAUAAAAAUUAAAGUUUGCGACCUCGAUGUUGGAUUAAGAUAAAAUUUAAAUGCAAAAGUUUAAAAUUUUGAUCUGUUCGAUCAUUAAAAUCUUACA
This 513-nucleotide ribosomal RNA is filed under the name Colotis hetaera. Its description in RNAcentral is "partial 16S ribosomal RNA". The stretch from base 387 to 513 matches the Rfam family "Bacterial large subunit ribosomal RNA", at positions 2473 to 2600 of the family's 2925-position model. The record is from RNAcentral. Lineage: Eukaryota; Metazoa; Arthropoda; Insecta; Lepidoptera; Pieridae.